This 586-nucleotide long non-coding RNA is filed under the name Olea europaea subsp. europaea. Lineage: Eukaryota; Viridiplantae; Streptophyta; Magnoliopsida; Lamiales; Oleaceae. The record is from RNAcentral.
CUUGUAUUUAUUUGUAUGCUCCUCUAGGUGCUGAUCAUUGGUGUGACUAUUGGAAACAAACUGUUUGGUUCACCCCAGAUACAGACCUGUUUGUAAGCAAGGACGAAGCAGUUCAUUUGAAUGCUUUCAUACUGAAACUGGAAUUUCAUACGAAGUGAAUCCCUCAUCCCAGAAUAAAGAGUUUGGUCUUCUCGACUCAUUCAGUCAGGAUUGUCAGAUGUUUCUAUUACCAGAAAGAAUUGUAAUGUAUGGUGAUAACAGCUGGAGAUGUCAAUGUUGAAAGCCAUUGAGAGAGCUAUAAGACAUUUAUCUUGACAGGGCUUCCUAACUAUUUCGUUCUGAUUACUUCUAUCAUGACGAUUUCAUCUAUAUGCAAAUUUUCUUGAUUAAGUCAUAGGUACCUCUCAUUUCGUUUGACCUCCUGCAUUGUCAACACUCCUUAUUUAUGUUUACUUCGUGGUUAUUCAGUCUUCUGUAGUGUUGAUUCCCCUUUUACUCAUCAUUGGUUGGUUGGAUAAUAAAUGUUAUUUACCAUUAUUAUCCAACCGGAUCUAUUUUGCCCUUUGGAAUUUCUGACGAACUAAUG